CCGAUAAAUAAAUAACUUCACUAAAACAAUAUUUCUUCUUAGCUUUAGUAGUAUUAUUCUGUAGAGGUUUUACUUAAUAAUUCUAACUAAUGAUGACCCUCUUAGAACUGGACUUUUGAUUUAUUAGAUCAGACAAUGAUGAAUUUCUCCUUUUGUGCUAAUCUAAAUAGUCCUCUCAAUUUUCUCUUAGGAGGUGUCCAUUUUCUUAGCUUACUUGGAUGACUUUAUUAGAUGAUACCCUACAAAAACAAGAAAAAAGUCAGAGGGCCAGCUUUACUAGCGUAAACACUUUGAUGGUAAAGUUUCGACGGUAAAGUCAUUCCUUAGAUUUUUGGAAAUAUGAAAUUUUAAAUUUAGUAAUAAUUAUUUACAUUUAU
RNAcentral lists this long non-coding RNA (377 nucleotides) under Citrus x clementina. RNAcentral's name for it is "Citrus clementina (C. clementina) long non-coding RNA (CCLE_LNC001944)". Lineage: Eukaryota; Viridiplantae; Streptophyta; Magnoliopsida; Sapindales; Rutaceae. The record is from RNAcentral.